Molecule: ribosomal RNA, 253 nt
Filed under: uncultured bacterium
Lineage: Bacteria
Description: partial 16S ribosomal RNA
Rfam family: Bacterial small subunit ribosomal RNA
Source: RNAcentral
UACGGAGGGUGCAAGCGUUGCUCGGAAUUAUUGGGCGUAAAGGGUAGGUAGGUGGUCUUAUUUGUCUGGGGUGAAAGCCUUGAGCUUAACUCAAGAAGUGCCCCAGAAACGGUGAGACUGGAGUCCUGGAGAGGGUCGUGGAAUUCCCGGUGUAGCGGUGAAAUGCGUAGAGAUCGGGAGGAACACCAGAGGCGAAAGCGGCGACCUGGACAGGUACUGACACUCAACUACGAAAGCGUGGGGAGCAAACAGG